RNAcentral lists this ribosomal RNA (425 nucleotides) under uncultured bacterium. RNAcentral describes it as "bacterial SSU rRNA". It matches the Rfam family "Bacterial small subunit ribosomal RNA", at positions 359 to 776 of the family's 1533-position model. The record is from RNAcentral.
GAAUUUUGGACAAUGGGGGAAACCCUGAUCCAGCCAUCCCGCGUGUGCGAUGAAGGCCUUCGGGUUGUAAAGCACUUUUGGCAGGAAAGAAACGUCAUGGGCUAAUACCCCGUGAAACUGACGGUACCUGCAGAAUAAGCACCGGCUAACUACGUGCCAGCAGCCGCGGUAAUACGUAGGGUGCAAGCGUUAAUCGGAAUUACUGGGCGUAAAGCGUGCGCAGGCGGUUCGGAAAGAAAGAUGUGAAAUCCCAGAGCUUAACUUUGGAACUGCAUUUUUAACUACCGAGCUAGAGUGUGUCAGAGGGAGGUGGAAUUCCGCGUGUAGCAGUGAAAUGCGUAGAUAUGCGGAGGAACACCGAUGGCGAAGGCAGCCUCCUGGGAUAACACCGACGCUCAUGCACGAAAGCGUGGGGAGCAAACAGG